GUUAGCUCAGUUGGUAGAGCAGUUGACUUUUAAUCAAUUGGUCGCAGGUUCGAAUCCUGCACGAC
This 65-nucleotide transfer RNA is filed under the name Chimaeribacter coloradensis. It matches the Rfam family "tRNA", at positions 6 to 65 of the family's 71-position model. From Rfam's summary of the family: Transfer RNA (tRNA) molecules are approximately 80 nucleotides in length. Their secondary structure includes four short double-helical elements and three loops (D, anti-codon, and T loops). Further hydrogen bonds mediate the characteristic L-shaped molecular structure. tRNAs have two regions of fundamental functional importance: the anti-codon, which is responsible for specific mRNA codon recognition, and the 3' end, to which the tRNAs corresponding amino acid is attached (by aminoacyl-tRNA synthetases). tRNAs cope with the degeneracy of the genetic code in two manners: having more than one tRNA (with a specific anti-codon) for a particular amino acid; and 'wobble' base-pairing, i.e. permitting non-standard base-pairing at the 3rd anti-codon position. Lineage: Bacteria; Pseudomonadati; Pseudomonadota; Gammaproteobacteria; Enterobacterales; Yersiniaceae. The record is from RNAcentral.